This 253-nucleotide ribosomal RNA is filed under the name uncultured Eubacteriales bacterium. RNAcentral describes it as "uncultured Clostridiales bacterium partial 16S ribosomal RNA". It matches the Rfam family "Bacterial small subunit ribosomal RNA", at positions 524 to 776 of the family's 1533-position model. Lineage: Bacteria; Bacillati; Bacillota; Clostridia; Eubacteriales. The record is from RNAcentral.
UACGUAUGGGGCAAGCGUUAUCCGGAUUUACUGGGUGUAAAGGGUGCGUAGACGGGAAAAUAAGUUAGUUGUGAAAUCCCUCGGCUCAACUGAGGAACUGCAACUAAAACUGUAAUUCUUGAGUGCAGGAGAGGAAAGUGGAAUUCCUAGUGUAGCGGUGAAAUGCGUAGAUAUUAGGAGGAACAUCGGUGGCGAAGGCGGCUUACUGGGCUUUUACUGACGCUGAGGCUCGAAAGCGUGGGGAGCAAACAGG